GUCUGUCUGCACGUCGAAGUAGCCCAGCUUCUGGUACCGCCCCUCAAUCAUCUGCUCCACUUGGGUCCACGCAAUGCGGUCGCCAUCGUUGCUGAAUGCCACUCGACCCUGCGGCAAGUGAGGGCAGGAGAGGCUCGAGACACUCACUGAGACUCCAAGGAACUGUGUGGCAUUCAUGGCCUUGUACAACUCGUCUGCAAUCUCCUUGUUGGUGUAGGUGAACUCCUCAAUGGACCUGUUCACCACUGCCAGAGUCUCCAUCGUCUUGUUGAGGGCCAGCGCCACACUCCACACUGCGUCAUAGGCUAAGGGCGCUUCCUGCAGGAGGGACGGAAGUGAAGAGAGCAACACGGAAAACGCCGCCCACUGAUGUUGACACCUGUGCACUUCCCACCUCACCUGCCGCGCCGCCCUCACCUGCCGUGCCGCCCUCACCUGUCCUCGUCAAGUCACGCAGGGCAAGUAAUGGCGAGAACAGUGAAGGCGGCCAUAAUUCCUCAAUCUCUCCUCGUCACAUGCCGGACGAGCAACAAAUGGUGAGGCAGAAGACAAAAUAUUGGCCGAUCAAUUCACUCAGUCCCGAGAGCCACUUACAUUUUCAUCUAGUCUUCCAUAAAGUUGCUCCGUUUUCUUUGAUCAUCCACAAGAAAAUUACUUAAGCAUGAACAAUUAUAUUUAUAGACUCAUUCAGUUCAAGGUGUGCGGGUAAUGAUAAGGUGGAAGGUAUGAAGUAUUAGUCUGUAAAUGUAACAGUCCACUCUUUAAUUUAGUGUUUAAUUUCAAGGUAAAAAGAAAACGGGCCAAUUUUCAGGGUAAACUGUAUCAGAGGAAAUUUUCAUACGUGGUGUACGUGGAGUGUAUAAAUGAUUAAGUUAUUGGUUUAUUUGUAUAAUAGGGAAGCCUCGGGUGGGCAUUAAGAUGUAUGAAAUUUGACAGUAACUGAAUACAUUACCCUAAUCUCAUGUUU
This is a long non-coding RNA of Portunus trituberculatus (swimming crab), 967 nucleotides long. RefSeq lists it as uncharacterized. The transcript has 4 exons. The record is from RefSeq and is a predicted model, not a curated record. Lineage: Eukaryota; Metazoa; Arthropoda; Malacostraca; Decapoda; Portunidae.